GAGGAUGUUUGUAACACCCAGUGUUAGUGACAACUUCAAUUAAGACAUUAAGAGGCUAACGAUGAAUUUGGAUUAAAGGAAGGUAAAUUGAGCCAAAAAUCAAAUUCGAGCCGAAUUCGGCCAAAUUUGCAAUUUGGAGUUUCAAAUUUGGAUAAAUUUGGCAAAAGUAGGAAGUUGAGACUUGAGAGUAUUUAGAACUCAAGAGAGUGAAGCUUGGGAUCUAAUUCAAGUCAUAAACCUCUUGGAAAUAUAAUCGAAGAAGGAAUCAACAAAGUUACUAUUUCCC
This 286-nucleotide long non-coding RNA is filed under the name Setaria viridis. Its description in RNAcentral is "long non-coding RNA (SVIR_LNC001777)". Lineage: Eukaryota; Viridiplantae; Streptophyta; Magnoliopsida; Poales; Poaceae. The record is from RNAcentral.